CCUACGGGAGGCAGCAGUGAGGAAUAUUGGUCAAUGGGCGAGAGCCUGAACCAGCCAAGCCGCGUGAAGGAUGACGGUCCUACGGGUUGUAAACCUCUUUUGUCAGGGGACAAAAUCAGGCUCGAGAGCCUGACCGAGGGUACUUGAAGAAAAAGCAUCGGCUAACUCCGUGCCAGCAGCCGCGGUAAUACGGAGGAUGCGAGCGUUAUCCGGAUUUAUUGGGUUUAAAGGGUGCGUAGGCGGACUGUUAAGUCAGCGGUAAAAGCCCGGGGCUCAACCCCGGCGAGCCGUUGAAACUGGCUGUCUUGAGUUGUAGAGAGGUAUGCGGAAUGCGCAGUGUAGCGGUGAAAUGCUUAGAUAUUGCGCAGAACUCCGAUUGCGAAGGCAGCAUGCCGGCGGCGCUCUGACGCUGAGGCACGAAAGCGUGGGUAUCGAACAGGAUUAGAUACCCGAGUAGUC
This 459-nucleotide ribosomal RNA is filed under the name uncultured bacterium. RNAcentral describes it as "partial 16S ribosomal RNA". It matches the Rfam family "Bacterial small subunit ribosomal RNA", at positions 338 to 795 of the family's 1533-position model. The record is from RNAcentral.